AGGCUUAUGAGGAUAAAUUAAUUAUCUUAGCGGAUUUCAGUGAGAUUGAAGUAACUUUUGAUCAAUGAUCUGAUUGUUACACACACUGAGGCUU
Small nucleolar RNA from Lactuca sativa (garden lettuce), 94 nucleotides. RefSeq annotates it as small nucleolar RNA R11/Z151. Lineage: Eukaryota; Viridiplantae; Streptophyta; Magnoliopsida; Asterales; Asteraceae. The record is from RefSeq and is a predicted model, not a curated record.